RNAcentral lists this ribosomal RNA (492 nucleotides) under uncultured bacterium. RNAcentral describes it as "partial 16S ribosomal RNA". It matches the Rfam family "Bacterial small subunit ribosomal RNA", at positions 29 to 507 of the family's 1533-position model. The record is from RNAcentral.
AGCGAACGCUGGCGGUAUGCCUAACACAUGCAAGUCGAACGGCAGCACAGUAAGCGCUUGCUAUUACGGGUGGCGAGUGGCGGACGGGUGACGCAUACAUCAUAAUCUACUUUUUCGUGGGGGAUAACUUAGGGAAACUUACGCUAAUACCUCAUACCACCUACGGGUGAAAUCAGGGGAUCUUCGUACCUUUCCCGCUUGCAUGAGCCGAUGUCGGAUUAGUUAGUUGGCGGGGUAAAGGCCCACAAAGGCGACGAUCCGUAGCUGGUCGGAGAGGAUGAUCGGCAAAACUGGAACUGGACAACGGCCAAACCUCCAACGGGAGGAGGAAGAGGGGAAUAUUGGACAAUGGGGACAAGCCUAACCCAGCAAGACGGCGUGGGUAAAAAAGGCCUUCGAGUUGUAAAGCCCGUUUGUAGGGAAAGAAGAGCAGCAGGGUAAAAAGCCGCUCUACUGACGGUACCUAAAGAAAAAGCAACGGCUAACUACGUG